This 253-nucleotide ribosomal RNA is filed under the name uncultured bacterium. Its description in RNAcentral is "partial 16S ribosomal RNA". It matches the Rfam family "Bacterial small subunit ribosomal RNA", at positions 524 to 776 of the family's 1533-position model. The record is from RNAcentral.
UACAGAGGGGGCAAGCGUUGUUCGGAAUUACUGGGCGUAAAGGGCGCGUAGGCGGCCUUCUAAGUCGAACGUGAAAUCCCUGGGCUCAACCCAGGAACUGCGUCCGAUACUGGAAGGCUUGAAUCCAGGAGAGGUGAGUGGAAUUCCGAGUGUAGAGGUGAAAUUCGUAGAUAUUCGGAAGAACACCAGUGGCGAAGGCGGCUCACUGGACUGGUAUUGACGCUGAGGUGCGAAAGCGUGGGGAGCAAACAGG